This 253-nucleotide ribosomal RNA is filed under the name uncultured bacterium. RNAcentral's name for it is "partial 16S ribosomal RNA". It matches the Rfam family "Bacterial small subunit ribosomal RNA", at positions 524 to 776 of the family's 1533-position model. The record is from RNAcentral.
UACGGAGGGGGCUAGCGUUGUUCGGAAUUACUGGGCGUAAAGCGCACGUAGGCGGACUGGAAAGUCAGGGGUGAAAUCCCGGGGCUCAACCCCGGAACUGCCUUUGAAACUCCCAGUCUUGAGGUCGAGAGAGGUGAGUGGAAUUCCGAGUGUAGAGGUGAAAUUCGUAGAUAUUCGGAGGAACACCAGUGGCGAAGGCGACUCACUGGCGCGAUACUGACGCUGAGGUGCGAAGGCGUGGGGAGCAAACAGG